RNAcentral lists this long non-coding RNA (417 nucleotides) under Equus caballus (horse). Its description in RNAcentral is "lncRNA (ENSECAG00000053996.1)". The record is from RNAcentral. Lineage: Eukaryota; Metazoa; Chordata; Mammalia; Perissodactyla; Equidae.
GUCCCAUCUGUGUCUGCAGGAGUCACCCUGAAGUUGACAGGAAUAUGAGUCAAAUGGCAGAUUCGCUUUGCCCCUGCGUUUUCACAGAAGUUUGCAAACAUCUGCAGGAUUUUAUUCAAUCUACUUGCAGCAUCUUCUCCCCUCCUCAAGCAUAUCACAAUUUCAGUGGUAAUGCUCAAUCCAAUAGAGGCUCACUACUCUUAUGCUUUGGGCCCAUUAUUGAGUCAAGUAAGGGUUACUUGAACACAAGCACUGCGCCACUGCAGCAGCGACCUGAUCAAGGAGACGGCUACUGAGCACACAGCGUGGAUACACUGGACGAAGGGCUGACUCACGUGCCGGGCAGGACGGAGUAGGAUGGUGCAAGAUUUCACCAUGCUACUCAGAACAACGUGCAAUUUAAAACUUAUGAAGUGC